AUCCAGAUGAAAAGUCCAAAAUAAGACGAAACACGCGUCCUGGAU
Schistosoma curassoni is the source of this 45-nucleotide non-coding RNA. The record is from Rfam. NCBI's taxonomy places the organism in Eukaryota, Metazoa, Platyhelminthes, Trematoda, Strigeidida, Schistosomatidae.